Molecule: unclassified non-coding RNA, 162 nt
Filed under: uncultured Acremonium
Lineage: Eukaryota; Fungi; Ascomycota
Description: sequence contains ITS2
Source: RNAcentral
CAACCCUCAGGGCCCGUCCGCGGGACCUGGCGUUGGGGAUCAGCCCUCCGGGGCUGGCCCUUAAAACCAGUGGCGGUUCCACAGCGACCUCCUCCGUGCAGUAGUGAUACCUCGCGGCUGGACAGCAGUGCGGACCGAGCCGUAAAACCCCCCACUUCUCAA